Long non-coding RNA from Cyprinus carpio (common carp), 429 nucleotides. RefSeq lists it as uncharacterized. NCBI's taxonomy places the organism in Eukaryota, Metazoa, Chordata, Actinopteri, Cypriniformes, Cyprinidae. The record is from RefSeq and is a predicted model, not a curated record. The transcript is spliced from 2 exons.
CCAACCCUAUCUCACGGCGAAUUCGUACUAAUUCGUACGAAUUAACCAAGUGGCUAAAUCGUACGAUAUCGUACGAGCUGGGUCGUACGAAUUCGUACGAUUUGUUCAUUGCAUUUAGUACAAGCCCAUCAAGACGAAUUCGUACUAAUUCGCACGAUUUAAUUAAUUGGUUAAAUCGUACUAUAUCGUACGAUUUGUUCUUCACGUUCAAUAAGCUUGACCCAACUCUCGACAGGAAAACAACGCGAUAUUUUCCUGCAGUUUACACGCGCCACUUCUCGUUACUUCAGAUCCCAUUCCAUUCACCCUUUCAUCUAUUCCAUCUACUCUAAAAUCCAACCCAACGGCUCUUUUAAGAGCCAUCAUUAGCAAAAGCUCUAAUUCUCUCUCUCUCCCACACACACACACACACACACACACACACACACA